Molecule: ribosomal RNA, 312 nt
Filed under: Physarum leucophaeum
Lineage: Eukaryota; Evosea; Eumycetozoa; Physariida; Physaraceae
Description: bacterial SSU rRNA
Rfam family: Eukaryotic small subunit ribosomal RNA
Source: RNAcentral
UCUGAAUCUGCGUACGGCUCCGCAAAACAGUUGUAAACUAUAGCAAGCACGCUUAUCAGGUCGCAAGGCUUGGUAAGCUACAUGGAUAACCCUGGUAAUUCUGAGGCUAAUACAAGAACGUACCACCUGUCUAACCGGGCAACUGGAAGGGCGGGGGGCGUGCAACACGGCGCAAAAAAUACUGGGAAUCGGUGCACGCUCAGACCAUCAUAAAAACGGUUGAACUGGGCUCCGGCUCGGGUCUUCUGGGUGGCUCUUGCGAUGUGCUUCUGACCUAUCAACUAGAUGGCAGCAUAAGGGACAUGCUAUGGU